RNAcentral lists this transfer RNA (86 nucleotides) under Bacilli bacterium. Its description in RNAcentral is "tRNA-Leu". It matches the Rfam family "tRNA". From Rfam's summary of the family: Transfer RNA (tRNA) molecules are approximately 80 nucleotides in length. Their secondary structure includes four short double-helical elements and three loops (D, anti-codon, and T loops). Lineage: Bacteria; Bacillati; Bacillota; Bacilli. The record is from RNAcentral.
GCGCGAGUGAUGGAACGGCAGACAUAGCGGACUUAAAAUCCGCUGGGGGUGACCCCGUGAGGGUUCGAAUCCCUCUUCGCGCACCA